Molecule: transfer RNA, 53 nt
Filed under: Cuscuta campestris
Lineage: Eukaryota; Viridiplantae; Streptophyta; Magnoliopsida; Solanales; Convolvulaceae
Description: partial tRNA-His
Rfam family: tRNA
About the family: Transfer RNA (tRNA) molecules are approximately 80 nucleotides in length. Their secondary structure includes four short double-helical elements and three loops (D, anti-codon, and T loops).
Source: RNAcentral
GCGGAUGUAGCCAAGUGGAUGAAGGCAGUGGAUUGUGAAUCCACCAUGCGCGA